Long non-coding RNA from Asterias rubens (European starfish), 351 nucleotides. RefSeq lists it as uncharacterized. Lineage: Eukaryota; Metazoa; Echinodermata; Asteroidea; Forcipulatida; Asteriidae. The transcript has 4 exons. The record is from RefSeq and is a predicted model, not a curated record.
GAACAAUUCUUCGUGUAUUUUGCUCCAAAAAACUUCGAGUUUUCACCGGAGUUAUGAAGGAAAACUACUGGAAAAGUGUAAUGUAAGGCUUCUCCAAAAGGAUCCACACAUCAACAAGUACAUGUAGAUGUUUCAAGAAUAGAGUUUUAAGCUGCCUCCAAUUUAAGGAAGACUUACCACCUCCAUCUGCAAAGAGAUCUACCCGUCAAAAAGGAUUCCAAAGACUGGCCAAGAAUAAAUGAACUUAAAUAAGCUGCACUUUCCAUUACAGUAAGGCUUACCAUCUUGCCUUGUCAACAAGUGUCCAGACUGGCCUAUGAUGACGGAGCUGCAAAUACUCUCCAUUAAGAG